AACCUCCGCAAUGUGAGAAAUCGCGACGGGGGGAUCCCAAGUGCCAUUCUUAACGGGAUGGCUUUUCAUUAGUGUAAAGAGCUUUUGGAAUAAGAGCUGGGCAAGACCGGUGCCAGCCGCCGCGGUAACACCGGCAGCUCUAGUGGUAACAAUUUUUAUUGGGCCUAAAGCGUCCGUAGCCGGUUUAAUAAGUCUCUGGUGAAAUCCUGUAGCUUAACUGUGGGAAUUGCUGGAGAUACUAUUAGACUUGAGACCGGGAGAGGUUAGAGGUACUCCCAGGGUAGAGGUGAAAUUCUGUAAUCCUGGGAGGACCGCCUGUUGCGAAGGCGUCUAACUGGAACGGUUCUGACGGUGAGGGACGAAAGUUAGGGGCGCGAACCGGAUUAGAUACCCGGGUAGUCCUAACUGUAAACGAUGCGGACUUGGUGUUGGGGUGGCUUUGAGCUGCUCCAGUGCCGAAGGGAGCUGUAAGUCCGCCGCCUGGGAAGUACGGUCGCAAGACUGAAACUUAAAGGAAUU
This 519-nucleotide ribosomal RNA is filed under the name uncultured bacterium. RNAcentral's name for it is "bacterial SSU rRNA". It matches the Rfam family "Archaeal small subunit ribosomal RNA", at positions 345 to 866 of the family's 1478-position model. The record is from RNAcentral.